Long non-coding RNA from Oryzias latipes (Japanese medaka), 835 nucleotides. RefSeq lists it as uncharacterized. The record is from RefSeq and is a predicted model, not a curated record. NCBI's taxonomy places the organism in Eukaryota, Metazoa, Chordata, Actinopteri, Beloniformes, Adrianichthyidae.
UCUCCCAAACUGGGGGAGAGUGGAGAAGGAAUGUAACUCAUGAAGCUUGUGAAGUUUCUGCUAUCUCAUCAGUCCCAUUAAAAGACGGGAGAGCAGCUAAAAUUGAAAGUGACGGUAGAGUCUUUAGGAGGCGGCCUGUGAUUUCCAAAUUAUCAUAUUUUCCAAGUCAAUAAUAAAAAGCUUAUGAUAGUGCUAGCUAUGCUGACAGGCUUUAAUAAGAUAGGGUUGCUGGAGCGCGGCAGACCGAGGGCCAGGCAGUUGUGUGUUUGCAGAUGUGUUGUAAUGUGUGUGUGUGUGGGCGAAAGUGUGUUUCCUUCGAUAAGUGUGUUUUAAUUGUGUACAUGUGUUUCGGCACUUGGUUGCUUGUGUGCUGAGUUUUUAUGAGGCAUCUUGAAAUGUACAGAUGAAAAUGGAAUGGAUUUUUGAUAUUUUUUCUAACUAAAGAAGAAACAUCUUAUGUUGACUCUCAUCUGCCUCCUUCACAGAGAGCAAUGGGCAGUCCAGGACAGAACUAACCUUUCUAACCAGCUCAUCCGGUCUCUUUCAAUCCUAGUCAGUGCAGCCUGUACACCAGCAGACUACAAUAAAGUGGAUGUCUGAGGCUUCACAAAGUGGGUAAAUCUCUGAAGCCCACUCAAUCCAAAGAACUUCAAAAGGAGGUGCAGCUGAAGAAGAUGAGCGGCUUCAUCAGUCUUCUGUGAGCACUUUGGGAUGUGGGAGGGGCUGAUCACUUACUGCUGCCAGUUAAAAGGUAUGUGCUUUCCAUUGGUGUAUUGACUUUUGUGAAAACUAACAAAAUAUGUCAUUUUCUGAAUGCAAUAUUGUCUUAAAAAAA